RNAcentral lists this ribosomal RNA (998 nucleotides) under uncultured bacterium. Its description in RNAcentral is "bacterial SSU rRNA". It matches the Rfam family "Bacterial small subunit ribosomal RNA", at positions 356 to 1376 of the family's 1533-position model. The record is from RNAcentral.
GGGGAAUAUUGCACAAUGGAGGAAACUCUGAUGCAGCGAUGCCGCGUGAGGGAAGAAGGUUUUAGGAUUGUAAACCUCUGUCUUCAGGGACGAAAAAAGACGGUACCUGAGGAGGAAGCUCCGGCUAACUACGUGCCAGCAGCCGCGGUAAUACGUAGGGAGCGAGCGUUGUCCGGAAUUACUGGGUGUAAAGGGAGCGUAGGCGGGAUCGCAAGUCAGAUGUGAAAACUAUGGGCUUAACCCAUAAACUGCAUUUGAAACUGUGGUUCUUGAGUGAAGUAGAGGUAAGCGGAAUUCCUAGUGUAGCGGUGAAAUGCGUAGAUAUUAGGAGGAACAUCAGUGGCGAAGGCGGCUUACUGGGCUUUAACUGACGCUGAGGCUCGAAAGCGUGGGGAGCAAACAGGAUUAGAUACCCUGGUAGUCCACGCCGUAAACGAUGAUUACUAGGUGUGGGGGGACUGACCCCUUCCGUGCCGCAGCAAACGCAAUAAGUAAUCCACCUGGGGAGUACGACCGCAAGGUUGAAACUCAAAGGAAUUGACGGGGGCCCGCACAAGCAGUGGAGUAUGUGGAUUAAUUCGAAGCAACGCGAAGAACCUUACCAGGUCUUGACAUCGUAUGCAUACCUCAGAGAUGAGUGAAAUCUCUUCGGAGACAUAUAGACAGGUGGUGCAUGGUUGUCGUCAGCUCGUGUCGUGAGAUGUUGGGUUAAGUCCCGCAACGAGCGCAACCCUUACUGUUAGUUGCUACGCAAGAGCACUCUAGCAGGACUGCCGUUGACAAAACGGAGGAAGGUGGGGAUGACGUCAAAUCAUCAUGCCCCUUAUGACCUGGGCCUCACACGUACUACAAUGGCUGUCAACAGAGGGAUGCAAAGCCGCGAGGUGGAGCGAACCCCUAAAAGCAGUCUUAGUUCGGAUUGUAGGCUGCAACCCGCCUACAUGAAGUCGGAAUUGCUAGUAAUCGCAGAUCAGCAUGCUGCGGUGAAUAUGUUCCCG